GGGAAGACUUGGGGUAAAGAGAAUGAAUUUUGUUUUAGACACAUUGAGUUUAAGAGGUCUGCCAGAGUCCAGUUCAAGAAGUCUGAAAGGCAGCUAGAGAUGGGACAUUGGAGAUCAGUAGAGAGGUUGGGGCAGGAUAGGUAGACUGGAGAAUCAUCAACAUAGAAAUGAUGCUUCAAUUCAUGGGAUGAGAUCCCCAUAAAUAAUGUUUUGUAGAGGAAGAAGAGAAGAGGGCCUUGUGGUAAGAAAGUAUGAUUUGGAUGAGGAUCCAGUAAUGGAGAUUGAGAGAUGGAACAUUCAUAUGGUCAGAAACAUAAGAGGAGGACCAGAAGAGAGAAGUUUCCAGAAAACCCAGAGAGCAAAGUAUCAAGGAAAAAGUGGUCAACAGUGUCAAAGGUCAAGGGAAAUGAGGAUUGAGAAAAGCCAUUGUAUCUGACAACUAAGUGACUUAAAUGAGUCAUUGGUAACUUUGGAGAGAGCAGUUUCUUUGGAAUGAUGAGAACAGAAGCUGGAUUCUAAGGGGUUGAGAGAGUGAGAGGAGAGGUUGUGGAGGCACCUAUGGUAGAGAAUCUUUUCAGGUUUAGUCAUAAAAGGCAAAAGAGAUGUAGAUGAACGUUUUCAAGGAUGGACGUGCUAAGUCCUGGCAGGGAAAGGUUGGUGAGGAAGAUAGUUUCAGGCUCCCUGAGAAUCAGCGGGAGUAAGCAAGAGUGAAAGAUGCAAAUAUAGAAGAAUAGGCACGAGUUCCAAUAAUCAGUUGAUAGGCACAGAGGGGAAAUGAGGGAUCUGCCACAAGUUCAACUUUUAUUGAGAAGCCAUGCCAAUAUAUAGAGAAAAGUUUUCUCUAUCAACUAAAGGGAACAUGACCACAUCAUUGGCCAAUCAUAAGCUCUUCUAUACUACAUCAUUCUUAGAGGUGUAACUUUCUCACAGAAAAUUGUUUGUGAAAAGAAUUUAACCAAAACAUUUCUAAGACAUUUUACUCAAACCCAAACAACUAAGGAAUAUUGACAAUAACUUGAGGGUAUACAGGAAUUAGGGGAAAAGAGAGUUUAGGUCAUUUGGUCACAACAUUACAGAAUCUUCUUUGGUCAGCAAAAUAAUGAACUGCUCAAGGAUUAUCAUGAUGGAGGCUUUCAGGAGAGGUCUACAUUUUAUCCAGUAAAUAAACACAGUAAAUAAAAAGUUGUGAAAACAAGUACAUAUUUGUGUGUUUAUACAUCAACGUUUUCAUGCAUAUAUGGAAGGAGCUCAAUGGUGUGACCACCUUGACAUUUCCAGGGUAGAAUAUUGAAGCCAUAACUAAAGAAUUCUAGAUUAAACAUUAUAUAAAUAUGUGUGUGUGUGUUGCUUUCAUAUUAAAAGAUAAUUUUGGCAGAGAAUUGUUCAAGUUCAUAUAAGGAGAAAACAUCCAACAAAAAGCUAUGGGAGAGUGGGGCAUCUAGGUGGCUCAGUGGAGAGAGAUCCAAGCCUGAAGACAGGAGGUCCUGUGUUCAAAUAUGACCUCAGAUUCUUCCUAGCUGUGUGACCCUGGGCAAGUCAGUCAACCCCAACGCUGCUCUUCUGCCUUGGAACUGAUACUUAGUAUUGUUUCCAAGAUGAAAGGUAAAGAUUUUUUUAAAACUAUGGAAGAAAAGACUUGUUUACAUUUAUAAAUGGAACUCUUUUGUAGACUCCAAGGCAGAUUUUCAAUGUUCUCAAGGAGGCCCAUAUUUAGGCACAAUUCCUAAAAUAGGAAUUUCCAAUUUAUCUCUUUUAAAACAUAUACAGCUUGAACUGCCUGAAUACAGCGGUUGAGGGGACAUGACAGAGGAGAGACUCUAAAUGAACACUCUAAUGCAAAUAUUAUCAACAUAGCAAUGGGUUCAAAUCAAGAAAACAUGUAAUGCCCAGUGGAUUUACACAUCGGCUGUGGGGGUGGGGGGGAGGAAAAGAAAAUGAUCUAUGUCUUUAAUGAAAAAUGCUUGGAAAUGAUCAAAUAAAAUAUAUUUAAAAAAAACAUAUACAGCUUGUAAGGUCCUAAAGAGGGACUUCCAUGAGGAAAAUUUGCCACUCCAUGACAUUUAAUACAACAUGACAAACUCUUUUCAUUGUAUUCCAAAUUUUGUUUGAAAAAAUCAAGACAAUGAUUUUCAACAAAUCAAACAUGGCAUCCUCCGUUCUAGACAUUUGAUGGCAUCCUUAAAGACACAUGGCAUGCUAAAAUACAUUGGGGCUCUUGAAGUUCUACUGUGAUGCUCUUUGCAGCCCUCGUAUUAAUGCUUUCCAUUGCCUAAUCAGUCCAGUCCUCUUAAAGAAAGAAUCAGCCUCUCUUCAUUUUGUCUAGCCUCCCCAGGGGCUGGACUCCAUGACUGCAGCAAGUAUACAUACAGGAGCACAAUUUUCCAUAUGUACAAAACAGGAGUCUGGUCAGCCCUUGGGGGUUUGUUUUGCAUUGGCCACACUGAGAUUGGCAUAAAGCUUAAUUGAAACAAGAUUUUGCUUUAGCAGUACAAGGAAAGGCUUCAGCCAGACUUCAUUCAAGAUAAACCAAGUACUAACGUGGGCAGCAAAGUUAGGCCGUGUAAUAGGAGGGAAAAAGAAACCUCCAGGGGUCACAACUAGCUUGGUUUUCGUUGGACAGCUCUUCUCCGGAACCAUCACUGCCCACUUCACUUCAGAAAUGCAGCCUGCCUCAAAGCUUUGUCCAUGUGGAAGAUGCCCUUCAGACACAUUCAUUGCUAUCAUAAGAUUCGAAUGCCACGCAAAAUAAAUGAAAGAAUACCAAAGCAUACAAGUAAUACAACUUUGGAAGGUAUUUCUUUUUAAGCAUUCAUAUAAACACAAUUUAUAGUACUUUUUCCUUUUUCUUUUCUUAAAUAUAUUCACAAAGCUGUGUAUGCCUCAAAAGAUUUCCUCUGUCCUACCUCCACGGCGUAAUCUGUGGUUUCCUGUUUGCCAGUUUAUAGUAAGGUCCUGCAAUUCCAAGAGGGAAAAGUGUAUCGUCAUGGAUUCUCAGAUGAUCCAAGCUACUGCACAAUCACUAGAGCACCAGGCUGGAUGCCAUGGAGUUGAAUGUAGUCAAAUAUAGAGCAGGCCCAGGCAGUGACACAGGAAAAUACCAGGCUAUCCCAUCAAACGAUAUGGUGAGGUGCCCAUCCAAUAAUUCAGAAAUCGGUUCACAAGUUUUUAUUGCAGGCAGCAUAUUAAUUUGUAAUUUGGUCCACCUAAUUAUUUUGGAUUGAAACUCAGAAACUGAAUAGGACUCAGAAUUUUGCAUUGCAAUUUGAGUGGCCAUUGCAAACCUCCAGUUUAAGUCAAGUAUUACUUUAGCCCUAAAGCAAUCUUUUCUUUUUUUUUUUAACCCUUACCUUCCGGCUUAGAAUCAAUACUCUGUAUUGGUUCCAAGGCAGAAGAGCAGUGAGGGCUAGGCAGUGGAGGUCAAGUGACUCGCCCAGGGUCACACAUCUAGGAAGUGUCUGAGGGCACAUUUGAACCUAAGACCUCCCAUCUCCAGGUCUGGUGCUCUAUCCACUGAGCCACCUACCUGUACCAGCCAUAAAGUAAUUUUCAACAAUGUACUACUGGGCAAAAGCUAGAAGCCCUCCAACUUGAUCUAAUACAUUCUUCCUCAUCAAAUAUUACAUUCCUUGCACAUAUUUUAACUCAGUAACAUUAGUAGAGAAAUAGGUCAUUGGAUGUGAAGUUCUAAAAUAUACCCAUUGGGUAUACACACAGUAUUGGUAAAUGUGUCUAGAAUUAUUUUGAUUCCACUAUCACAAAUCCAUAUAAGGUCAUAUUUUGCCAUUUUAUAUCCUGGCAUUAAAUUCUUAAUUUUGGGAUUAAUCCCAACCUCCUUGCUACCUCAAAGCAGCCUAGCAUUCCCAUUUGAGUAUUUGCCAAGAAGCUUUUCUGAUCAUCAGGGUCAUGUACAAAAGGAGUACUUCAUAUCUGGGCCAAUAGAAUUGAAAGAAUAUUUCUCAGUUGUUAAUUGUUUACAGCUUUCAAAAGUUUCUGAAGUAUAAGAAUAAGGACUCAAGGGGGCAGCUGGGUAGCUCAGUGGAUUGAGAGCCAGGCCCAGAGAUGGGAGGUUCUGGGUUCAAAUCUGACCUCAGACACUUCCUGUCUGUGUGACCUUGGGCAAGUCACUUGACCCCCAUUGCCGAUCCCUCACCACUCUUCUGCCUUGGAACCAAUACACAGUAUUGAUUCCAAGACAGAAGGUGAGGGCUUAAAAAAAAAAGAAUAAGGGCUUAAUAAGGCUCAUCAUUUCUAAUCUUUCUUCUACUGGUCAGAUAUAAUUUUUCACAGACCAAGCUGAAGUUCCAAAUUGAGGCCACAAAAGAUUAUUCUCACUGUCAAUUCUGUUCCUGCCAAAACUAAACAAUAUUUAAUAGGGAUUCUCCUAUCAUAAACCACAGAACAGGAAGAUUUAUUCCAAGCUUGCAAUUUUAAUCCCAAUGGGCUCUUCCAAAAGAUAUAGGCUUAUUCUCUCCUACUCUAAUAGGCCUUUUUUAUGGUGGCCUUCUGCUGUCUCUCCUCUGUUGCAGAUUGUUUCUGUCUCAUGUCUUUUUUCCCCUAGGGUUUCAAUUAUCAGCAAAAGUUAGAAUGUCUAUCCUAUCUGUGAAGAUUGGAUUUAGCUAUCUCCUGAUUAUAACAAUGAAGGUACUUAGCUCUUCCUUUAUUGGUAAAACUGAAUUGUAAUCCACAAUCUAUUUUUAGAUUUUAAUCCCCAAAAGGUGGUAACUCAGUAUUUUAAGUAGAUCUACCCAUUUUAACUAUAAAAAGGUGUUAACUAACUACAAAAGGUAUAACUAACCACAAAAAGGUAUGAACAUCCAUUUCAUGCAUUGAGUGGGAGGUCUGUGACCCACGUGUGAAAGAGUGGGCAGUCCUGGAGAGAAGCGUCUGCUGUGAUUGGUAGAUGUGAAAUUUAGGGGAUGUGACACAAGAGAAAAAGGUCUUUAAAUAGAGGAAACAAAGACUGAAGAGACAAUCAGUCACCCAGCCUUGGAGUGAAGGAUCAGUGACUCGGAGCUGGAGGGAAGACAGACACUUGAGGAGAGACUGGAAGACAGACACUUGGACUUGGCUGUAGAACUGGACCCCUGGACGAGCUCAUGCAGGAGACCUCAGACUGCUUUUCUUUUAGAUGGUCAUCAUUGGUGAGUGAAAGGCUGACUUAGUGACCCUGCCUUUCUGGAGGUGUAAACCUCUGAGAAAGGCCCACUGUCUUGAGACUCUUUUCCCUGAUUAGGGCCUUAGAAUUUCUACCUGGCUCAGAGGAAGCCGGAGUUCUCUCUCUCUCUCUCUCUCUCUCUCUCUCUCUCUCUCUCUCUCUCUCUCUCUCUCUCUCUCUCUCAUUCCUUAAAUCUUCCUCUAUUGUAAAUAAAACUACCAUAAUUUACAUUUUACUUUAAUAAUUAAUUUUGGGAUUUAGAAAUUAAAUCCCUGGUGACCACCAAAUUAAUAGAUUUCAGUCUCAACCAUAAAAAUGUAACACACCCCUACUUAACACUAAGUAGGGGAGGUCUGCAAGCCACUUACUAAAGUGGGUGGAAGCAACUGACCACUCCUUGGGCAGUGCUAAGCAAAUUUAAAGACUGCAGUUGGUCCCCAUAAAGUGGAGGAAAGGAUAGGAAGUGACAUAAAAAGAGACUAUAAAAGCUGAUGAACUUCCUGUGUAGAAGGUCUUUGUCCUGAAUUUUCAGGUUGGAGGAUCUUGGACUGGAACUGGGCUUGGAGCUACGACUUAAGACCUGUGACUCUGGAUCUUGUACUGCUUCUGGAAACUACAACCCUCAGGUUAAAUGGCAUCAUCCUGACAUAUUCACCCCAGUCAUGUUCCAGCCUUCCAGAAGGAGGUAACCUCCAAAUUAACCUUUUUAGCAAAUGGUCAAGAGUUGAAGUCAGGUUCUAAUUUACAUACAAACCAGAACAGUUUAUGAUACAUUUUGGGAGCAGGGCUGAUUAGGAAAUUGCUAACUCUGACAAGCCACUAUUGUGUUUUCCAGAGCUUCCAGCUCACCUGAUCUCUUAGGUAGGCAAUCCUUUGAAUACAAACUACUCAGGGUCAACACCCUAGGGCUCUGGGGUUGGUAUCUCUGGGAGAAUGCACCAUGCUAGAUGAUUUCUCUGAAGAAUGACAGAACAUGGGGGUCUCUGGAGAAUCCUCUGGAGAACCUAGUACAGAAAGCAUGCAUAGACAAUGUGAACUUGGGAAAAACAAAGAACUACUAAAGUAAUCAGAGAAACCAAGUUUUUAAUCAGAAAAGAGAUAGUGUUCAAUAUUUGGCCAUUACACAGAGGUCAAGCUCCCCAAAACCACACAGAGCCAAAGGCUCUGGCAUGCUGGCAACAAUAUCUCUGAGAAGAACAUUCCACUAGAUGAUACUAUAAAGAACAAUAGAAUUUGGGGAACUGAGGAUAGGCAAACAUGAUUGAUUGACAUUUCCAUGGUUAUGUCAACAUGGAAUCUAGGAAUCCCAAACUUGUGGCCUAGUGGGGUCUGAUGAAACCCAAGUUUCAGGACUAGCUUGUAGGCUGGAGACCCCAAAUCUUAUCCUUGUUCCUUGUUCCCCUGGGAAUCCACCCUAAAGGGAAUCUCAGGCUGGCAGUUUUAGACUGAGUGGGGGACCCUCAGGUGAAUGAUAAUCAUAGUUAGGUGGGACUAAGCAGAUGCUAAGAGAUGCCCUCUUUGUCUUGGUGGUCUCCCCUAUUGUAUGAGAGACCCUUUCCCAAGAAGACCCACACCUGGGCAGGAACCAUUCUUUGGUAUCCAUUGUAAGCAGUCUAGCCUCUAGCUGUGAUUCCUUUCCCAGACUUGAUUGUAUCCUGUCAGUGUAGUUUGAACACUCCCAUUUCCUUUGUAGCUAUAGUGAUGGCAAUCAUCUUUCCCUGCCCCUGGAUUUCCCCCAAAUGGUAUAGAGGAUCCCCAAAUUCUUUUGUUCCUUGGAAUUGUCCAAUUGAAGUGGGGUGCUUCAUAAAACGAAUCUGGACACCCCAAAAUUCAAUUAUUGGAACCGUUAUUUAUUGAUUGAUAAAGAAUAAAGAAUCUACCAGCUGGGACAGACUUCCCUAGUGGAAGCUGCCUCAGGUGGACACUACAGGACAGCUUAUAUAGGUGAUGUGAUUUUUAAAUCUACAUUUUGCUUGGUCUAGCACCCAAAAUUGUGCACACCCACACUACAUGGGUAUGUGCUAGUUGAUGACAAAUCAGAAAUAACUGACUGCCCACCUGGGCUGUCCUAAGUCAAGCUUGAACCACCAUUGGCACUUGUGAGGCACAGGUAGUGAGGUAGAGAACAGCCUCUGGAGAUCGCUCACUUCCUGUGGACAGGGCUAGGCGGCAGUUCAUGCUAGGAGCUCGAGCAGGGAGGAGGCCCACAGGCAGCUUUCCUUCAGAUCGGUCACAUGAGUGAAAGGACUGAUUCCCUUCUCUAUCUUGGCCUUCCAAGGCCUAAACUCCCUCUGGUUCUGCCAGAAGGUAGAGUUAACCUUUUUCCUUUUCCCCUUCUUUCCUUCUCUCCCUCUCCUUCUUUCUUACUCCCAUUGUAAUUAAACCACAAUAAAACUCCAUACUGACUUGAAUGUUCAUUUAGGAAUUUCAUAAGUGAAUUCCUUGGUGACCUUACAUUAAUAUUAUAUCAAUCUUUAAAAGUGAUUUCCGGGCAGCUGGGUGGCUCAGUGGAUUAAGAGCCAGUCCUAGAGAUGGGAGGUCCUAGGUUCAAAUCUGGCCUCAGACACUUCCCAGCUGGGUGACCCUGGGCAAGUCACUUGACCCCCAUUGCCUAACCCUUACCACUCUUCUGCCUUGGAGGCAAUACACAGUAUUGACUCCAAGACAGAAGGUAAGGGUUUAAAAAAAAAGUGAUUUCACUAUCAUAGUGACAAGACACAAGUUAUUUUCUUUCGCAUACAGGCUCUUAUGUGGAAGUCCCAACCAUUAUCACAAACACGGGUAGGUCAGAGACAGUACUCAGGUUAUUCAGGGGCUGUUCAUUUUAUACAUGUUCUUAGUUCACUUCUCCCUAAGCCUGGAAGUGUUGUCUUGCAUUCCAUCUGGACCUCUUCCAUAUGUAAAGAUUAAGAUUUAGGGGAGAUGGAGAGACUGAGGCAUCUGAAAUUAGUUUCUCUCUGCAAGGAGUAUUAUAUUUUUUAGAGGUUUAUUAAAGGCUAAAGAUUAAGGAACAUACAAGUAAGAAACAUGUGCCUAGGCCAGAGGCCUAGACAAAAUAACCUCACAUCACGCAAGAGACGAGCCUGCUCCAAACAGAAGUCCAAAAAGAGCCAAGAGACCUUCAACAGCCUUUGAAUCCGCUUAAAUACCUUCUCGAUCUCGGCCCAGGUGAGAUUACAAGGCAUUCUGGGGAAGUGGAGCAAAGGCUCAUGGGGAUUGUAGUCCUGUACUCGAGUCUAUUUUUUACAUUCCCUCGUGUGAUCAUUUUGGAAAAAUUAAUUUUUCCCCAAAAGGAUCCUAAAAACAUAAUAAACUUAAAAGAUUACAGUAGUGUGAGGAUAAGAGAAAAAAGAAUAAAACCAAUAAUUGUUGAACACAACAUUGACAAAAAGCCGUUAGGGGGCAGUCCCCUUUGGCAUAAAAGUAUCCAUACAAAUAAAUGUUCAAUCAACCACACCCAAAGUUCACACCUUGCACAGGCCCAUCAUCACCUCCACCACUAUACCGGGCAGCAGUGCACAUAGUGCAAAACCCAGUGCAAAAUCCCCUCCCCCAGAUUGCCGCUUACCAUGCUGAUGUCUUCCAUCGAGCAGCCACAUACUCCUUUGCACGGUGCCUCGUUUUUGUUCAGUUACUCUCAGAACAAGGCGCCACGCAAAGGAUUAUGUUACUGGAAGUAGUACUGUACCUGAGCAGCGCUGCCACAUAUGGUGCUCCUCUCACUGACCACCAAUAAAAGAGGUGCCCCUUCUGGAAGUGCAGUGGGGGCCGGAUAAAUGGCCUCGGGGGGCUGGAUGGGGCCCAUGGGCCAUAGUUUGGGGACCCCUGAUUUAAGGUAUCAUUAUGUAAAAUAUGGUAACUAGUUCCAACCCAAUGGAAAUAUGCAAUUCAAAUACUGUGACCAUUUCUCAAGACUCAGUAUUUAAACUAAUUGGGAUUUGAAGUGUUUCAUCAUUUCUAUUAUAUUGGCAUGAUCCAGUCAGGGGCAUUGAAUAUUCACCCCGCAAUAUUUGUUUGUCUUUUUUAAGGGAUGUUUUAUAAUUGAAUCUAUACAAGUCUUUUGUGGAAUUUAGUUCCCAGACAAUUUAUGCAUUUUGUAGUUAUCUGGAAUGGUAUUUCUCUCCCAUUUUGUUAUUAUUAUUGUCAGCUGGGUUUUGAGGAGCCCCGAGUUUGUCUUUGUUCCUUUAGGGAAAGUCCCAAACUGACUUGUCUUAGAGUAAACAAUGGAUCCCCAAGCAUCCAUUCAGUGUCCUAGACAGGAGUGAUAGAAAUGCUCAAAUCCUCAAUCAUCCUUUUUUGUCUUAGAAGUUUCUUUCCUUGUGAUAUGAUUGGGGUAUUAAAAGAUCACUCUAUUACAAAUAUGAGUGAUAUGGAAGUAGGUGUUGAACAAUGAUACAUGGAUAUAUGAAUAAACCCAGGGGAAUUGCUCAUUGGCUACAGGAGGGUGGAGGCAAGAGGGGUGGGAAAUCUCAUGAAUCAUGUAGACAUGGAACAAUAUUCUAAAUAAAUAAUUUUUUAAAUUGUCACAGAGAAAUCCAUAUCUAUCCUUCCAUGGGAAGACUCCUCAGUAGUGCGGAGGGAUUUCCAGGAAUACAGUAUGGAGUUAUGUAAAGCUUCCAAGGACCUGCAUAACCUGUUCUUUCAGUCUUUAUCCACAGACCCAGUCACACAUCUGACUCUGAUGAACCCCACAGAUUAGGUCUGUUUGGAAGGAGCAUCUCCUUUUUUUUUUUUAAACACUUACCUUCUGUCUUGGAGUCAGUACUGUGUAUUGGCUCCAAGGCAGAAGAGUGGUAAGGGCUAGGCAAUGGGGGUCAAGUGACUUGCCCAGGGUCACCCAGCUGGGAAGUGUCUGAGGCCAGAUUUGAACCUAGGACCUCCCAUCUCUAGGCCUGGUUCUCAAUCCACUGAGCUACCCAGCUGCCCCCAGGAGCAUCUUCUUAAAGACCCCCUUGAACCUUGAUGGAAAUUACUACUGGGACUGAAGCUAAAUUCUCUGGAGUUGAUUUCCGGAUCCACUUAACACAUCUAAAGAAGACAACUGAGUCUACUUGGAUAGCACACCCUAAAAGGAAUCCCUGGGUUCACCUGAGCCCAGAAGAAGACAACUUCAAAGGAAGAGUUUCAAAGGACUCUCAAGGACCAGAAGAAGAUGAAAGCUGUUGUAGACAACUGCCCCAAGACUCCGGAUGAAGGCUGAGUAUAUACUCUGCCACUGCCCUUUAUUCUUGUUCCUAUUCUCCUUGUUCCCUUAGCUUUACUUUUUGCAUCGACUUUUGCAUCCUUGCUAUUCAGUAUGACUCUGAACCCUACUUUUGAAUCAUUGUCACUUUGGGUUUUGUCCUAUCUAUUGCCUCCACAACUCAGGGGUACUGAGCUCAAGGUCACCUUCCUCCUCCUGAUGGUGACCUCUCCUGACCCAUUCCAUGUGGAGAGUGGCCAAAUCAGUCACCAGCCUUCUCAGUUUGACUGACUACUAGCUAUGUGGAAGCCAUAAGGAUGCCAUCUUUUCUUACCCUGUCCCUGCAAAACUUGGGGCACUUUAUAGCUUAAGGGAGAAAUGGUAACCCAGAGACCGAAGGUCAUUACCAGUGAUGGUCCUGGUGGGGCCUUUGUUGAGCCCCGAUAUUAGUUACACUCCUUCAGACUGGAGUGGGAUUUUUCCCUCAAUUCUAACCUUUUCUCCUCCCUUAGCAAUAUUAAGGUUACAUUCUCCUCCAACCAAAUAGCCUAGUGCUUGCGAAUGUCCAAUUUUCUAACACCACUGCCUUUUUUCUUUGCUUUUUUGCAAAUGAAUCAGUGCCAGAAAUCAUGACCAUAGUGGUAAAGGAACUUGUGGGUACCGAGUGUAACCAUAGCUUUUGGGCAUGUGCCCAGCCAUUCAUCCCCAUUGAAGGAGGGGGCAGUAAUGAUUGGAAGGUUUCCCUAGGACAUGCCACCCUCCUUGGCACUAAUGUAAUCCAUGGGGAAGAUAGCUGGAGAUUUUGUCAAGGGCAGCUCCAGAAAAAGUGCAAAGAUAGUUUUUAUUUUAUCAACACCUCCUUUGCCUCUCAUGACUCAGUACAGGGAGGUAAUCAGUUGGCAUAGAAUUUACAUAGGAGAUACCUGUGGCAUGGAGCAUCAGGCAAAAAUCCUUAUUUGAAUGUGUUUGUGGGCACCUCCCUUCUAAGAGUCUGCAGACACUCCAGAAGAAUGAGGAAUCCAUUCAAUAUUCCCUUUCAGGUUCUGUCUUUUUCUCAGUAUCCCUACCUGAGAGAUUUUUCUUUCAUUGUGGCAAGGGAUUCUAUCUGGCCCUUCCACCUAAAUGGACUAGACUAUGCCCUAAAGUGGGAGUACUGCCUGACCUCUCUUACUCUAAGGAACCUUUCAUUUUCCUUUGCCCACUAAGACCUCAGUGAUAGCCUCUCCUUAAAAACUCCCAGAGCAGUCUUCUUCUCAGUCCCGGUAGACUCAGGUAUGUGGGCUGGCAAGGAACUGGGGAUUGAGGGAUUUCUGACUGCUCAGAAUGCCUCUCACAAUUUGUCUGCAGAGUUUGACAUGUGUAGAAAACACAGCAAAUUGUGUCAGCAUGAAAUCUAGAAGCCCCCAAACUUGUAGCCUAGUAAGAUCUGAUGAACCCCAAGUUUUAGGAGUUAGAUUGUAAGUUAGAGACCCCAAAGCUUGUACUUGUUCCCUGCUCCCAUGAGAAUUCACCCUGAAGGGAAUCUCAGGCUAGCAGUUUCAGACUGAAUAAUGGACCCCAAGGCAAAAGACAAGUCAGGUGGAGCUAAGCCCAAGCUAAGUGAUUCUUCUUGUCUUCAGAAGCCUCUCCGACUGUAUCACAUCCUCCCUUUUGAGGAUUGAACUCAGGGCCUUCAACUUAUGAGACUGAUGGACUGCCUACUGCACUAAAGUCACUUAGCUUGGGCUUAGCUCCACCUGACUUGUCUUUGCCUUGGGGUCCAUUAUUCAGUCUGAAACUGCUAGCCUGAGAUUCCCUUCAGGGUGGAUUCUCAUGGGAACAGGGAACAAGUACAAGCUUAGGGUCUCCAACUUACAAGCUAGUUCUAAAACUUGGGGUUCACCGAUCUUACUAGGCUACAAGUUUGAGGGCUUCUAGAUUCCACAUUGACACACACAGAUUCCAUGUUGACAAUGGCUUCAAGGAAGUAAAAGACCAACUUUCUUCUCUGGUGCAUAUGGUGUCACAGAAUUGAAGAGCUCUGGAUGCCAUGCUUACUGUGCAAAGGGGAAUUUGUGCAAAGCCUGCUGUUUCUAUGUCAACAUCUCUGGUCACUUUCAAGAAAUGAUCACUCAGGAUCGGGCUGACAGACUUAAGAUUCAGGCAUCUUCCCCCUGUCCUUGGAGUGACAUUUUUAGUCUCCUUCCUGGUAAUCUGGGAGGAAUUCUGAAGACUGUUUUUUUUGGCACAGUUUUCAUGUCAGCCCUGGUCUUUUGAUCUUCCUUGCUGCAAAAUGUGCGUGUGCUUGCUAAAUGCUUAUCUUUGCUGUAGUCUAUAAGAUCAUGUUCCAAACCACAGUGCUACCUUGGUCUGCAGGGGACAGAUCAUCUGACCCUUUGAUCAACAGGAAGGGAUAUAAAAACUAAAUGACCAAUGAUUCUACUAAUCGCCUGAAUCUACUUGAGCUUCCAUUUUUUCCAGAGAUUUCUGACACUUUGGAAUAAAGUUAAUUCUUGGAAUAAUAACUUGCCCUGCCUUGAUUAUAACUGGACCUUGACUGAAAACAAUCCUAGGAACUUUUCCUUGAUAUCUCAUCAGGAAAGGCUCCAGACAUUUUCAGAGAAGUCAACUGUUAUCAUUUUAUCUCCUUGAAACCCCAAAAGUCACUCCAAGGACUUAUUGUCAAGAAUUUACUGUUACACUCUGUCCCUCAAGCAAUAAUCUUGUUUUUUUUUUCCUUUUUCUCUCUUUCAUCUUUCAAACAAUAAAAACUGGCUAAUUUUUGUAUCUAAUCUAAUCUAAUUCUCUUCUUAGGAGAGGGGUUCCCACAUGCAGGCUCAUUCCUGUGAGAAUACAUUAAAAUGCCCUUUGCUUCUUCCUCAGUUGAUUUUAUAUGUAAUAGGAGAAAACCCCAAAUAUUAUUAUUUUUAAAAUUAUGGGUUAUCUUUAAGACAAUCAAGAACCAUAUCCCCAGUCUUUUGGGAGGAUUCCUUAUCACCCGAUUGGACCCUCUGAGAGGUAUCCUCUGGUCUCUUAUUUGAUGUACUAUAAACAUUCUGGCCUUUGUAAUAGGUGUUAUAUGAAUAGCUAAGUUAUUGUUGUUUGUGUAUAAGCUCUAUAUCUUUUAUCAUGUUUCUCUGAAAAUUUCUGUUAGCUUGCCACUAGUACUAAGGCUUGCCUGAGGAUCAAAGGAGUCUCCAAGGAGCUACAAUGACAGAAAAGGGAUGAAUGUUAACUGUGGUUAUUUAAAAUAUAUAUGGAAUAACUGUGACAUGUAAAAUGAUAAUAACGUACAGUAUGGUUGUCAGAAAUCCCUGCUAAGUCCAGCUACAGAGGUGACCUUGAGUCAUUCCAGAACUCCUGGCAACUGAGAUUAGUUGAACAGACAGUGCCCAACCAGACAGUGGAACUUGUGGUGCUGAUAUACAAAGAGAUCCUCUAAUCCUUUUUCCUGCUUGGACAUUGUGUUCCCUCGUUUCCUGUUCACCACUUACCUCCUUUUCAUGCUUGAACAUCCUUCGUGUUCAGGAGCUCCUCGGGUGGUUGUAAACUUUUAAAAAGCCCCCUCAGUAGGUAGUCUGAGAAGGUUUCACCCCACAUGCCUGUUUAACUUUCUUCUCUCUCCUCUUAAGACACAUUUGUCUCAAAAAUAUUUCUAAAGUUAACAUUAUCCAUGUAAUCCAUUUGAUGUGCUAGUAAAUGUUUUAACAGCUAGCUGUUGGAAAAAAAUGUUUAAUCUGUGUAAUAAGGGUGAGGCCCUCAUAUGAAGAAGCCCACCUAGGAGGAGGCCCAUGUAUCGUGAGGCCAGUUGUUGUGUUUUGAAGGGAGGCAGAAGAGAAAAUUCUAGCCUCUUUUCUGACUCUCCUUCUCCUUCACUCCUACCACAAAGGCAAGCAGAAGGUAGCCAGAGGCUGCUGUCCUCUCCUCAGAGACUGGAGGCACUGGGCUAAAAGAAAAUCAGUUGCUCCCCUUAUAAAUUGUUCAACUCUGGGAUGAUUGGGUUCCAUCUAAUUUCUGAUUCCUUUGUCAUUUCUGAGAGGAAGGGGAACUCCAAGCUCCAUAUCCAAGGCUUAAUCCCUUUUCCACUGAAUCCUGGCUGCACAAUGGACAAAGAGAGACCAGCAAGGAAACUCAAUAUCCAAAUCAUAACAAAACAGAAGUCAGAGAAGGCAUGCAUAGGGAAAUAUACAAUGGACAGUGGAGUGAAUGAGCUCUCUCAUUUGGAACACAAUAAAUCAGUCCAGUUAAAUGAGAGGAUUCUGGGUCUAGUUCAGGAGAAAGAACCUGAAGUUUCAAGAGUAUCGAGCUGAGAAAAGGGAGAAGAUGGAGGCUGCCCAGUUUUUUUUAAAGUCACCAGCACUCUGAGGUAGGGUUGGUGGUCUUCCAUCUUUUCUCUCCAAGAUGAAACCUAGAAGUACUUAAAGUGGCUCCAUUUCCAACUAGAUGAGUUCCAAAAAGAAUGGUCCUUGAAGAUUCCAGAGUGAGUCUGACAGCUGCUCUGAUGCAACUGGCCCAGCCCUCCAGCGGGACGUGGCAUUCACUAUCUUCCCAAGUGUCUUAUCCCACUGGCCCAGAGUUGAAUUGAGCGACAGAAAGAUAUGAAAACCUGAGGAAGAAGCAAAGGGCAUAUUCAUGUGGCCUUCUCAGCAAAGCAAGCAUGUAUGCGAGAAUCCCGCCAAAGGAGAUUCAGAAAUUGGCCAGCUUUUAUUGUUUGAUUGAUGAGGAAUUGGAAAAAAGAAAAGAACCAGCGGAUUGCUUGAACAGGUGGAUGGGCAAUUCCUGACACUAACUCCGUGGAGUGACUUUUGGGGUCUCCAGUAGACAGGCUGAUAAUAGGUACUUUACCUGGGAAUCCCCGAGUCCUAGUCCGGAAAUUGUUAGGGUGGGGUUCAAGGGGUAGGUCCCAGGUGCUCGAUAGAGAAAUGGAGGGAUGACUGUAGUCAGUAUUCCUCUCACUUUUUCCAUCUCCAUUCUAAUGGGAUUUGGGGCCGGUCUGUAAGGUUAGUUAACAGCCCCAUCUAGGCCAUAUAUAACUACAGAUCAUCUAGAACAUCCACAUUAAAUCUUGCAAAGAAACAACCUAGUAAACCCAGCUUUUGGGAGCUUUUGGAGCACCCACGAGGCGUGGAGAGACACAAAUGCCUUCAGACCAGAAAGAAGAUACGAAGAAUUUCCCUUUUUACCCACCGUCCCAGGGUUUUUAAGCUGCCUGGGCCUGAAGUACUUUCUCUAUUCCGGAGUGUAGGAUCCCUGGGAACCUGUUUUGCUAGCGUUAUCUCUCUGGCCAGGCCCAGUGUAAGCCCAAGAUGAAAUCAUGGCGGCCUCUUCCCUUGCACUCGGAAGCCUUAGGCAGGAAUUGUAGGUGUUCAGAACAGAUUCCUGCCCUUGGGCGGCUGGAAAGGGAAAAAAUGCAUCACGAUGCCACAUAUAAGUAAGACGGGGUACAGGGGAUUAAUAACGUGUCAGUCAGAAGGAAGGAAGGGCAGGCUGCCGCUUUCUGGGGUGCAGUCCCGACCCCACCUCGGAAGGGGUCCGAGGAAGAGGAGGGAGCCUCGGAGGCGGCUGACACCCACACACAGACACGGGAUAUUGGGUGGGGUGGGGCCGGGGAGGGGGGAGUCUGGACCUCCAGCUGGAAGCACCCCUCCCCUUCCUAAACAGAGGAAACUGGAAGGGAAAGGGUGAGAGCCUGGUGACGUCACACCGGUCUGUCAGGGUACGCUGGAGGAAGGCAUGGGGUUAACCUACUCUGGGAGGGGGCGAUGAGCCUGAGGGACUAAAACCCCAGGGACCCCCUUCCCCCACCACCGCAGACAGGAGGAGGCGGCUUGUUUAUGCGGACAUUUCGGACCAAUGGAGCCCCGGAAACGAAAACUCGGUGACCUCAGCCAGAAACCGGAAGUCAGAUCUCGGGAACGCGGAGGAAGAGGGAGGAUUAGAGUUAGGAAAGACAGACAGACCCACAGAUGGAGCUCCGAGCUCCCCCAUUCCAUAAACCGAGCCUCUGCAAAGGAGGGCCAAGAAGCGGGGAGGAGUUUGUGGAGGAGAUGGAGUAGCAUAGGGAGGAGCGCCCUCUGAAAACAGGAAGGAGGAGGCAGACAGAGCCCCUCCCUCCCCCGCCCUGCCCUAACAUGGGGCCUUCCUGGCUAGGGGGUGUCCCCUUCUCUUUUUCGGCUUCUUUCGAGCUCUUAUCUCCCCACCCCCGUGGGCUUCGGGGAAGCUCGGCCUCUCCUGGGUAGUGAGGAAACUUUUCCUCUGUCUCUGUCUCCUCAGGGAGCUCCUCCCCCUUCUCCAUUUCCUUUCCCCCUUACGACCCUGGGGAGGUCUGCCUAACCACCCCUAGGGGUGGCCGCCCGAAGGGGCUGAAGCCCUGUCCUGGGCUGAAGGUGGGGCCUAGGGAAAGGAGGAGGGAGAUAGAGGAAGGAAAUGGUGGGUGGGCGGCGCGGGGAGAGGCAGAUAGACAAGCGCGCGCGCGCGUGCACACGAGCAGACAGAAAAACCUCAGAAAUCAAUGUAAAAAGGUCAGGCCCAUCUGACUGACGCAGUGAAAAAGGGUUCAAACCUGGAAACAAUGACGUCAUCCCCAAGAAUUGAGCUGUGUGAUGUGGUAAAUCAGAGAUCUUUUGUUUAAACAAAAUGACAAAAAUGAGACAAAAUAUACCAGAACUCUUGAUAUUUGAGCCAAGAAAUCUUCAGGGGGAAAUAAGUCUUUCCAAGCAGUUUCAUCAAUAACAAGAGAAAAAGGAGAGAACAUAUCCAAAAAAAAAAAAAAUCCCUGCAGGCCAUGACUCCCAAGUGAGGUGUACAGGGAGGAUGUAUGGAGGGGCAGGGCAGAGGCAGAUGAAGUGAGCUGCCCCACAGCCGAGUGACAAUUGAGAAGGAUGCCAGGUGGGGGAGAAGGAAAGAGUGUAUGCUUGUUGCUCCAUCACUAAGGUGGGCUUUGAUAUCACCGGCCAGAUCCUGAUCUAAACAGAUAUUUAGG
Molecule: long non-coding RNA, 17298 nt
Organism: Monodelphis domestica (gray short-tailed opossum)
Lineage: Eukaryota; Metazoa; Chordata; Mammalia; Didelphimorphia; Didelphidae
Source: RefSeq, a predicted model, not a curated record